GUAGGUGGCAAGCGUUGUCCGGAAUUAUUGGGCGUAAAGCGCGCGCAGGCGGUUCUUUAAGUCUGAUGUGAAAGCCCACGGCUCAACCGUGGAGGGUCAUUGGAAACUGGAGAACUUGAGUACAGAAGAGGAAAGCGGAAUUCCACGUGUAGCGGUGAAAUGCGUAGAGAUGUGGAGGAACACCAGUGGCGAAGGCAGCUUUCUGGUCUGUAACUGACGCUGAGGCGCGAAAGCGUGGGGGAGCAAACAGGAUUAGAUACCCUGGUAGUCCACGCCGUAAACGAUGAGUGCUAAGUGUUAGGGGGUUUCCGCCCCUUAGUGCUGCAGCUAACGCAUUAAGCACUCCGCCUGGGAGUACGGCCGCAAGGCUG
RNAcentral lists this ribosomal RNA (371 nucleotides) under uncultured organism. Its description in RNAcentral is "partial 16S ribosomal RNA". It matches the Rfam family "Bacterial small subunit ribosomal RNA", at positions 527 to 896 of the family's 1533-position model. The record is from RNAcentral.